GGGGGGGGUAACAGAGUAGCUUGCUCCUGCUGACGACCGGCGCACGGGUGCGUAACGCGUAUACAAUCUACCUUUUGCUGAGGGAUAGCCCAGAGAAAUUUGGAUUAACCCCUCAUGGUAUUGUUGAAUGGCAUCGUUCAAUAAUUAAAGGUUACGGCAAGAGAUGAGUAUGCGUCCUAUUAGUUAGUUGGUAAGGUAACGGCUUACCAAGACCGCGAUAGGUAGGGGCCCUGAGAGGGGGAUCCCCCACACUGGUACUGAGACACGGACCAGACUCCUACGGGAGGCAGCAGUGAGGAAUAUUGGACAAUGGGCGGGAGCCUGAUCCAGCCAUGCCGCGUGCAGGAAGACUGCCCUAUGGGUUGUAAACCACUUUUACAUGGGAAGAAAAACGCCCACGUGUGGGUUACUGACGGUACUGUAAGAAUAAGGACCGGCUAACUCCGUGCCAGCAGCCGCGGUAAUACGGAGGGUCCGAGCGUUAUCCGGAAUUAUUGGGUUUAAAGGGUCCGUAGGCGGGCUAAUAAGUCAGGGGUGAAAGUUUGCAGCUCAACUGUAAAAUUGCCUUUGAUACUGUUAGUCUUGAGUUAUAGUGAAGUUGGCGGAAUAUGUAGUGUAGCGGUGAAAUGCAUAGAUAUUACAUAGAACACCGAUUGCGAAGGCAGCUGACUAACUAUUAACUGACGCUGAGGGACGAAAGCGUGGGGAGCGAACAGGAUUAGAUACCCUGGUAGUCCACGCCGUAAACGAUGGAUACUAGCUGUUCGGACUUCGGUCUGAGUGGCUAAGCGAAAGUGAUAAGUAUCCCACCUGGGGAGUACGUUCGCAAGAAUGAAACUCAAAGGAAUUGACGGGGGCCCGCACAAGCGGUGGAGCAUGUGGUUUAAUUCGAUCAUAUGCGAGGAACCUUACCAGGGCUUAAAUGUAUUUUGACAGGUUUAGAGAUAGACUUUCCUUCGGGCAAUUUACAAGGUGCUGCAUGGUUGUCGUCAGCUCGUGCCGUGAGGUGUCAGGUUAAGUCCUAUAACGAGCGCAACCCCUGUUGUUAGUUGCCAGCGAGUCAUGUCGGGAACUCUAACAAGACUGCCGGUGCAAACCGUGAGGAAGGUGGGGAUGACGUCAAAUCAUCACGGCCCUUACGUCCUGGGCCACACACGUGCUACAAUGGUAGGUACAGAGAGCAGCCAUGUCGCAAGGCAGAGCGAAUCUAUAAAACCUAUCACAGUUCGGAUCGGAGUCU
RNAcentral lists this ribosomal RNA (1240 nucleotides) under uncultured prokaryote. RNAcentral describes it as "partial 16S ribosomal RNA". It matches the Rfam family "Bacterial small subunit ribosomal RNA", at positions 64 to 1306 of the family's 1533-position model. The record is from RNAcentral.